RNAcentral lists this ribosomal RNA (253 nucleotides) under uncultured bacterium. RNAcentral's name for it is "partial 16S ribosomal RNA". It matches the Rfam family "Bacterial small subunit ribosomal RNA", at positions 524 to 777 of the family's 1533-position model. The record is from RNAcentral.
UACGUAGGGUGCGAGCGUUAAUCGGAAUUACUGGGCGUAAAGCGUGCGCAGGCGGUGAUGUAAGACAGGUGUGAAAUCCCCGGGCUUAACCUGGGAACUGCAUUUGUGACUGCAUCGCUGGAGUGCGGCAGAGGGGGAUGGAAUUCCGCGUGUAGCAGUGAAAUGCGUAGAUAUGCGGAGGAACACCAAUAGCGAAGGCAGCUCGCUGGGACGUACUGACACUGAGGCGCGAAAGCGUGGGGAGCGAACAGGG